UGGGGGUCAGGAAUGCUCGUCGAGAUGCUGUUAGCAAGAAUUGGUUCAGGAUCUCAAGCGAAAAGGAAGUUUGGCCCAGGGAGAGACAGCCCUGCCCCUCCACGGCCACCCUGUAGGCUGUGCCUCGCCGGCACUUCCUCCUCUUUCCCAGGAAACACUUCUGACUUACCAUUCCCCUGCGCUCCGACGACGUUGCCUCUCGGAGGCUCCGUGGAGAAGGCAAGCUUGACUUCUAUGCUCAGAAGAUGCUCUCUUGGAUGUCAGACAGAUGUUCCGUGGCUGGCGGAGGCCAUGCACUUCAGGUCACUUCCUGACAGCCUGCACAGUCCCCCCCUUCCCUCCCCCCACCACCAUGCAGUGCCAGGACUGGGGGUGUCCCUGAACACCUUUGAGCCUCAUUGCAGAGAUGGGGAGACUGAGGCACGGAGAGGUUCUAACUUCCCAGGCUGCUUCUGUUUCCCCUGGGCCAAGCAUCCAGCCUGGAAAGUCCUCUGGGUGAAAAACAGGCAUCCUCUCCACCUCCCUGCAUGGGAAAGGAGCCUUCCAUUACUGGCGCUGGCACAAUGCUCGGCACCCGGAAAGCACCCACUAAACAUUUGCUUCAUUAAUGAAAAAAUGCAUGGGGUGAGUUGAUUCCCCAGCUCCCUGUGUCCUCAGUGGGGGCUCUCACAGCCAGCCACUCCUUUCGUCAGACACCUGGGCUUCAGCGACAAAAGGCCAUCGCAGGAUGCUCCUUUGUUCUAAGAGCCUUAUUUCCCAGGUGAGCGCCACACCCCUCACAGCAAAAUAGACAGGGGGUCUGCACCCUCUCCCAGCACGGUUCCUGGCCCACAGGAGAGGCUCAGCAAGUGUGUGUUCUCUCUCUUCUAAUGAGAGAGAAGCUCAUUUUCCUCCUGGAAGAAGGGCUACCUGGAAGUGAAGGCACAUUUUUACACACUGCCGCACUGGGGUGCCCUGAGAGCAACACGUGCUGGAAGGACGCACCCAAAGGCCAGCUGGGUACUGAGGCUGAGCUCCGAGCUUCCGGUCCGGCCCCAGGUUCUGAACGCAGACCUAUCCACAGGGGGGGAGGGGCAGCCCAUUGCCGGACCUUUAUGCAGUGUCAUCUGACUGCUGGUACGUAGUUGAUGCCCGAGAGAAGCCAUUACAAGAGAUGAGCCGGACGUGGACGAGGCUGGUGAGUGUGACCGUGACCCAGACAGGGGCUCAGCCUGGGGAGGACAAGCGAGGAACCCAGGCUUGUUGGGGGCAGUGGUGAGCAUGAGUUGCUGGCUAGCUGGGUCUCAGAAUUGGGCACGAGCGCCAGGGACAAAGAGCAGGGGACCCCAGCCCCCGAGCUCUGCUCCUGAGAGAAUGCAGAGGCUGGUGAGCCUCGUCUGCAGGGGGCAAAAUUCUGUGCUCUCAGCCCUGAAACUGGGAAAUGAGCACAGGCCAGGGCAGACGAUAUGCCAAAGACUCCUACCUCCCAUGCUGUUCUAAUUAUUAAAAAUCCGAUCAGAAGAGUCAUCCCCUCUCCUCCCCCAACCGAGCCCAGUCUGGCUUACUAGGGCUGUUUCAGCCCCCCAGGAGACCUGGGUUCUGGGCCUCCCCCGAGGGCUCUCCCAAGGCCUGACACAGAACACUGAGCCCGGCCCUGGCUAUCUGAUGAUUUGAGGGGGUCUGGUGGGCUUGGUGGGGGACACGUGAAGGAUCACAGAUGAGCUCCCUUCCCUGCCCCUUGCCUAUGUUUCCAGCUUCUUGCGCAAACCCUGACCGGUCCUGUCCCCACCCAGCAGGCUGAGUGGCAAGGACAAGGGUUUAUGGAGAACACGAUCUCCUGGUUUUCUUCCUUAUUCUGAGCAAAAACCGAGUGAGCUUAGAUGCCAGGGGCAGGCAUGCUCCCGACCCUGGCAGGUACCCUGGGCAUCCAUCUCGCCCUCCUACGGGCCCAGGGGCCACAGCCCCACGUGUCCGGCAGGGGGGCUCGCCCCCGCCAGACCCCGCCAGGACGGCGUGCGGGCAGACUGUUAUGAGCUAACAUAAGUCGAGACUAACCUUUCAGCAGAACAGUUUGAGUUAAAAUAAAGGGAAUGAAAAAGAGUACA
Ursus maritimus (polar bear) is the source of this 2084-nucleotide long non-coding RNA. The record is from Ensembl. NCBI's taxonomy places the organism in Eukaryota, Metazoa, Chordata, Mammalia, Carnivora, Ursidae.